UACGUAGGGGGCUAGCGUUGUCCGGAAUCAUUGGGCGUAAAGAGCGUGUAGGCGGCUCGGUAAGUCCGCUGUGAAAGUCCAGGGCUCAACCCUGGAAUGCCAGUGGAAACUGUCGAGCUAGAGUCCGGAAGAGGCGAGUGGAAUUCCUGGUGUAGCGGUGAAAUGCGCAGAUAUCAGGAGGAACACCAAUGGCGAAGGCAGCUCGCUGGGGUUGUUCUGACGCUGAGGAGCGAAAGCUAGGGGAGCAAACGGG
Molecule: ribosomal RNA, 253 nt
Filed under: uncultured bacterium
Lineage: Bacteria
Description: partial 16S ribosomal RNA
Rfam family: Bacterial small subunit ribosomal RNA
Source: RNAcentral